Poecilia reticulata (guppy) is the source of this 426-nucleotide long non-coding RNA. RefSeq lists it as uncharacterized. NCBI's taxonomy places the organism in Eukaryota, Metazoa, Chordata, Actinopteri, Cyprinodontiformes, Poeciliidae. The record is from RefSeq and is a predicted model, not a curated record.
GGUCCGGAAGUGGCUUUCUCCGGUUCAAAACAAAGCAAAGUGGAUCAUAACGAGCUGGCUCAAGCAAUUAGGAUCAAAAGAUGGCUAUUAGAUGGCUGUGGACUUGUUUAUGCCAGGGCCAGUUUUACUGGGAAGAGGAGAAGAAAAUCUACAACCUGGAGCUUUGAAAUAAAUUGUCACGGAGUUUUGGAAACCCAAAGAUGGUACUUUUUUUUCUGCAGAGAUACAUGGCGGCUGUGCGACAUAUGGGUGUGUCUCGUACUGGAAAAGAGGUUCGAAUUAAGAGCGAAAUCUACAUUUAUAAAACCGAUGAGGGGAAAGUGAUAGUGGAGGAUGAGUUUCUGAGCUUCAUUGUUACGAAAAUGAGAACUUUAUCUCAGGAGGAAAUUGUAUUAUUGGCCUCAAAUAAUUUCUCCUCUGAGUGGA